This 261-nucleotide unclassified non-coding RNA is filed under the name uncultured fungus. RNAcentral's name for it is "partial contains 5.8S ribosomal RNA, internal transcribed spacer 2, and large subunit ribosomal RNA". Lineage: Eukaryota; Fungi. The record is from RNAcentral.
AACGCACAUUGCGCCCCUUGGUAUUCCAUGGGGCAUGCCUGUUCGAGCGUCAUUUGUACCUUCAAGCUCUGCUUGGUGUUGGGUGUUUGUCCUCGCCUUAUGCGCUGUAGACUCGCCUCAAAACAAUUGGCAGCCGGCGUACUUGCCUUCGGAGCGCAGCUACAUUUCGCGCCUUGCACUCACUUGAACGACUUGACGUCCAUUAAGCUACAUUUUUACACUCUUGACCUCGGAUCAGGUAGGGAUACCCGCUGAACUUAA